UACGUAGGGUGCGAGCGUUAAUCGGAAUUACUGGGCGUAAAGCGUGCGCAGGCGGUUCGUUAAGUUCGAUGUGAAAGCCCCGGGCUCAACCUGGGAACGGCAUUUGAAACUGGCGGGCUGGAGUGUGGCAGAGGGGGGUGGAAUUCCGCGUGUAGCAGUGAAAUGCGUAGAGAUGCGGAGGAACACCGAUGGCGAAGGCAGCCCCCUGGGCCAACACUGACGCUCAGGCACGAAAGCGUGGGGAGCAAACAGG
Molecule: ribosomal RNA, 253 nt
Filed under: uncultured bacterium
Lineage: Bacteria
Description: partial 16S ribosomal RNA
Rfam family: Bacterial small subunit ribosomal RNA
Source: RNAcentral